GGUUAAACUGUCUCCUUUUUCAUAUCAGUGAAACUAAUCUCUCCGUGAAGAAACGGGGAUAUUUUUAUAAGACGAGAAGACCCCAUGGAGCUUUAAACUUAACUACACUCCGCUUAACUUUACUUUUAAACCUCUCGAAUCCUGUAUGUUCUGUUUUAGGUUGGGGUGACCGCGGAGUAUAAACUAACCUCCACGAAUGAAUAGAUUUUUUCUUAUCCAAGACUUACACCUCUAAGAAUUAGUAUUCUAACAUAAAAUGAUCCGAUAUUCGAUCAACGAACCAAGUUACCCUGGGGAUAACAG
Molecule: ribosomal RNA, 303 nt
Filed under: Guibemantis flavobrunneus
Lineage: Eukaryota; Metazoa; Chordata; Amphibia; Anura; Mantellidae
Description: partial 16S ribosomal RNA
Rfam family: Bacterial large subunit ribosomal RNA
Source: RNAcentral